This 253-nucleotide ribosomal RNA is filed under the name uncultured bacterium. RNAcentral's name for it is "partial 16S ribosomal RNA". It matches the Rfam family "Bacterial small subunit ribosomal RNA", at positions 524 to 776 of the family's 1533-position model. The record is from RNAcentral.
UACGUAGGUGGCAAGCGUUAUCCGGAAUUACUGGGCGUAAAGAGCGCGCAGGCGGUCGUUCAAGUCGCGUGUGAAAGCCCCCGGCUCAACUGGGGAGGGUCACGCGAUACUGAUCGACUCGAAGGCAGGAGAGGGUAGUGGAAUUCCCGGUGUAGUGGUGAAAUGCGUAGAUAUCGGGAGGAACACCAGUGGCGAAGGCGACUACCUGGCCUGUUCUUGACGCUGAGGCGCGAAAGCUAGGGGAGCAAACGGG